UACGUAGGGUGCAAGCGUUGUCCGGAGUUAUUGGGCGUAAAGAGCUCGUAGGCGGUUCGUCGCGUCGGCUGUGAAAACCUGAGGCUCAACCUCAGGCCUGCAGUCGAUUCGGGCGGACUUGAGUACUGCAGGGGAGACUGGAAUUCCUGGUGUAGCGGUGAAAUGCGCAGAUAUCAGGAGGAACACCGGUGGCGAAGGCGGGUCUCUGGGCAGUAACUGACGCUGAGGAGCGAAAGCGUGGGGAGCGAACAGG
This 253-nucleotide ribosomal RNA is filed under the name uncultured bacterium. RNAcentral describes it as "partial 16S ribosomal RNA". It matches the Rfam family "Bacterial small subunit ribosomal RNA", at positions 524 to 776 of the family's 1533-position model. The record is from RNAcentral.